This 254-nucleotide ribosomal RNA is filed under the name uncultured bacterium. Its description in RNAcentral is "partial 16S ribosomal RNA". It matches the Rfam family "Bacterial small subunit ribosomal RNA", at positions 524 to 776 of the family's 1533-position model. The record is from RNAcentral.
UACAGAGGGUGCGAGCGUUGUUCGGAUUUACUGGGCGUAAAGGGCGCGUAGGCGGUCGUGACAAGUCACUUGUGAAAUCUCCGGGCUUAACUCGGAACGGUCAAGUGAUACUGUCGGACUAGAGUACAGAAGGGGCAACUGGAAUUCUCGGUGUAGCGGUGAAAUGCGUAGAUAUCGAGAGGAACACCUGCGGCGAAGGCGGGUUGCUGGGCUGAUACUGACGCUGAGGCGCGAAAGCCAGGGGAGCGAACGGG